RNAcentral lists this ribosomal RNA (829 nucleotides) under uncultured bacterium. Its description in RNAcentral is "bacterial SSU rRNA". It matches the Rfam family "Bacterial small subunit ribosomal RNA", at positions 35 to 866 of the family's 1533-position model. The record is from RNAcentral.
GCUGGCGGCAUGCCUAACACAUGCAAGUCGAACGGCAGCACAGUGGUAGCAAUACCAUGGGUGGCGAGUGGCGGACGGGUGAGUAAUGCAUCGGGACCUACCCAGACGUGGGGGAUAACGUAGGGAAACUUACGCUAAUACCGCAUACGUCCUACGGGAGAAAGCGGGGGAUCUUCGGACCUCGCGCGGUUGGACGGACCGAUGUUCGAUUAGCUAGUUGGUAGGGUAAUGGCCUACCAAGGCGACGAUCGAUAGCUGGUCUGAGAGGAUGAUCAGCCACACUGGAACUGAGACACGGUCCAGACUCCUACGGGAGGCAGCAGUGGGGAAUAUUGGACAAUGGGCGCAAGCCUGAUCCAGCAAUGCCGCGUGUGUGAAGAAGGCCUUCGGGUUGUAAAGCACUUUUAUCGGGAGCGAAAUACCAUUGGCUAAUAACCGAUGGGGCUGACGGUACCCGAGGAAUAAGCACCGGCUAACUUCGUGCCAGCAGCCGCGGUAAUACGAAGGGUGCAAGCGUUAAUCGGAAUUACUGGGCGUAAAGGGUGCGUAGGCGGUUUGUUAAGUCUGUCGUGAAAUCCCCGGGCUCAACCUGGGAAUGGCGAUGGAUACUGGCAAGCUAGAGUGUGUCAGAGGAUGGUGGAAUUUCCGGUGUAGCGGUGAAAUGCGUAGAGAUCGGAAGGAACAUCAGUGGCGAAGCGGCCAUCUGGGACAACACUGACGCUGAGCACGAAGCGUGGGAGCAACAGGAUUAGAUACCUGGUAGUCACGCCUAACGAUGCGAACUGGAUGUUGGUCUCACUCGGAGAUCAGUGUCGAGCUACGCGUAGUC